Molecule: unclassified non-coding RNA, 467 nt
Filed under: Hevea brasiliensis (rubber tree)
Lineage: Eukaryota; Viridiplantae; Streptophyta; Magnoliopsida; Malpighiales; Euphorbiaceae
Source: RNAcentral
CAGCACCCACCACCACCACCAGCAGCAGAUCAAAAUCCAAGUGCCUACUCUUCACUAUCAUUGCAUCUCUCCUGCUUUUGUCUCUUAUCGUAAUCAUCCUCUUCUUUAUCCUCCAUCAUAAAACUUCGCAUUCCUGCUCUCCAAAAUCAUCUUCAAGCACUCUAGUACCUUUAGCUAACAUUCAAUUAGCCUGUCAACCCACACAACAACCAGAAAUCUGUCAAGCCUCUCUUUCUAAGUCCAAUCUUCUCCCUCCCAAUCCAACUCCACUUCAAAUUAUCCAAUCUGCAUUAUGGGUCUCCUCCCAAAAUCUCUCAAUUGCACAAUCGAUGCUGAAGUCCCUCCUAAGCGCCGCGGCCGGUAAUCAAAACCUCACUUACGCUGCUAAAAAUUGUUUGGAGAUUCUGGGUUUUUCUCAGUACCGCAUUUCAUUGUCGAAUGACACUUUGCCACUUGGUAAGACCAAA